GAUGAACGCUGGCGGCUUGCCUAAUACAUGCAAGUCGAGCGAACAGACGAGGAGCUUGCUCCUCUGACGUUAGCGGCGGACGGGUGAGUAACACGUGGAUAACCUACCUAUAAGACUGGGAUAACUUCGGGAAACCGGAGCUAAUACCGGAUAAUAUAUUGAACCGCAUGGUUCAAUAGUGAAAGACGGUUUUGCUGUCACUUAUAGAUGGAUCCGCGCCGCAUUAGCUAGUUGGUAAGGUAACGGCUUACCAAGGCAACGAUGCGUAGCCGACCUGAGAGGGUGGUCCGCCAACACGGAAACGAGACCAGGUCCAGACUCCCACGGGAGGGAGGAGUAGGGAAUCCUCCGCAAGGGGGGAAAGCCCGACGGAGCAACGCCGGGUGAGUGAUGAAGGUCUUCGGAUCGUAAAACCCUGUUAUUAGGGAAGAAAAAAAGUGUAAGUAAACAAGCCCGUUUUGAAGGUACCCAAUGAAAAAGCCCCGGCUAACUACGUG
Molecule: ribosomal RNA, 497 nt
Filed under: uncultured bacterium
Lineage: Bacteria
Description: partial 16S ribosomal RNA
Rfam family: Bacterial small subunit ribosomal RNA
Source: RNAcentral